GCAUUCGAAUGUGAUCUUCUCCACUGUGUCUGGCAACCCAACUCCACCAACUACGCUAUAGCUGUAUCCCAAGUUUGCCUCAUCAACUGAUUCUAUUUUGUGCAACACAAACUUGCUUUCUCCAUCUGUCCAUCCAUCCAAUGAUCAGCCUCAUUAUCAUAAUUUAUUUCAUUAACUAACUUAGUUAUACUAUAUGGUAGAAUAUAAAAUGAACAUAGAUAGAUAGAUAGAUAGAUAGUGAGUGAGUGAGUACCCUCAACGAAAGUGAUCUUCUUGAUGGUUCCAGGGCCACCGUUCCCCUCAAGGUUUUCAACACUCCUGAAGGCUUCGACAGCCUUUGGGAUGACGUUGUCGGCAUCUGUAACUAGAGCUUUGUAAAGGGUAGCAGGAGCCACAGGGGAGGUGGUUUCAUCCUCAAAUGUGAAAAUACCCAUUAUGAAUAAUAAAAUGGAUUCGAAGAAUAAUAUUACUAGUUUGUGAAGAUGUUUG
Molecule: long non-coding RNA, 489 nt
Filed under: Glycine max (soybean)
Lineage: Eukaryota; Viridiplantae; Streptophyta; Magnoliopsida; Fabales; Fabaceae
Description: long non-coding RNA (GMAX_LNC003807)
Source: RNAcentral